Long non-coding RNA from Camelina sativa (false flax), 642 nucleotides. RefSeq lists it as uncharacterized. The record is from RefSeq and is a predicted model, not a curated record. Lineage: Eukaryota; Viridiplantae; Streptophyta; Magnoliopsida; Brassicales; Brassicaceae.
UUUCGGACGAUCGAAUAUUUUUUUCUUCCCCCGGAAGGGGAAGGAAUCAAAGGGCUAUGGAGUUUAGAGUCGAUUCAUUCGGCUGAGGUUGAAGCAAUUUGAAUCGGAGGGUUGUACAUGAUCAUAAGCUAGUGAAUUUGAGAUCGCUGGAGGAGGAGUAUCUGUAUCUUAACCUUCAUUAUAUGAUAGUUGCUACACUGAAAACUGACAAGGUGCGUGUUGGCCGAGCCAAGUGAAGAGCCCCCAGCUGAUGUUUGUUCUGUUGACUGGUAGACUCGAGGAAAGAGACUGCUUGCAGAGCCAAAUUCAAAGGCUAAGGUGAAACCGAAGACUGAUUUUGGAGUUGUGAGUCAUUGGCAAAUUCCCUUGCGCUUAGGAUGGCUGGUGUUACGAGUUUAACGGAUGAUCCAGUUGGUGGAACCAUAAUGAGGAUGCCUAGCCUAGUGGCGAGCCGACAGGUCUUUUGAUAGAUGCUGCUAUGGAGCUUGUCACUCCCUGGGUUAAAGAAAUCUCUGUAGAUGAACGUAGGGAAGCACUUAUAAGAGCUAGCAAAUAUGCUUUGACUAGAGGCGUAACAACUGUUGUUGAUCUUGGAAGAAGAUGAUGAUAGGGACUUGCUUGUUUUUCCCGAUAACGACAUGG